AUGAGACACUCAAGUGAUCUUCUCUUACCAAGUUGGAAAUUCAGUCUCAAAGGUUUGAAGCUCCUGUCGGGGCUGGCAAGUUCUAAGCUCGAGUCCAGGGCUAAUUCCCAAGGCCCAAGUACGUUUCUUUUCCCUCUUGGUUGCCUUCGGAGGCCAGAGAUCUGUGUUUUGUGUCUUUUGUUCCCUCUUCUUCUCUGCUCCUGGCCAAACUGCAGCCUGGGAUCAAAACAACAAACCAAGCAGCGGGCCUGCCCCUGCCCCCCUGGGGGGGUGGGGGGGUGCUGCCUCCUGCCACCCCACACCCACACCCAGCACGGGGGAGGGCAGCCGGUUGCUGGGCCUGGGAGGCAGCUGGAACAGAGAGCGAGGGAAAAUAGUUCACGGUCUGUGUGGCAAGGGGAGACGGGCCGCCCAGCUGUGGCCAGGAGAGCCAGGAGGCCAAGCCCAGCCCAGACAUUUCAAAAACAAACCUGGAUCCAGCUUUCCAUCCCCCCGGGGCGGGCCCCACCCUCCAGGAGGAAGGAGCAGACUGAUAUCUGUGUCCAGGGAGCAGGACCUCAGCUCUUGGACCCCUCCUUAGGACCGGGUCCUGGGCACAGACCAAAGCAGAGGUUGAAGAAGGUGGCACUUUGUAUACAGUGGUGCAGGUUAGUGGAGCGUGCACAGCCGCCCCAACGGGAAGCCCUCCAUUCCGAUCCCAACAGCUCUGUGGUCUGACCUUGCUGGGGUCCCUUUGUCUCCCUGGUCCUCAGCACCCUCUCGUUGUGCAUGUGGCCAAGAUCCUUGAGCGGAAGGAGCUAACGUGUGUGUGUGUGUGUGUGUGUUUGUGUGUGCGCGCGCCUGGAGCACAGUAGGGGUUCGACAAGGGCUUCGUCUCUCUCACUGUUGCUCCCAAGAGGAGCCCUGUGCCCGACCGAGCCACCAUUUAUUCUUGGGGACCAAGAGGGACCCUCACCGAAGGCAAUGCUGGCAGGAGUCACUGGCAGGGUGGAAGCCUAGCUCUCUCCAUCCAAUGAGCUGUGUGAUUCUGUAUCCAGGACGGGGUGCAGACAGGAGGAGAGGGGGGAUGUGAAAUGCAGAGCAAACCACGGCUAAAAAAAAAAAAAAAAAAAGAGGAAGAAGUCAACAUAAAAUAAAAUAUAUAUUUUUUUAACUUUAAUCA
This 1162-nucleotide long non-coding RNA is filed under the name Felis catus (domestic cat). Its description in RNAcentral is "lncRNA (ENSFCAG00000047173.1)". The record is from RNAcentral. Lineage: Eukaryota; Metazoa; Chordata; Mammalia; Carnivora; Felidae.